Molecule: ribosomal RNA, 407 nt
Filed under: uncultured bacterium
Lineage: Bacteria
Description: partial 16S ribosomal RNA
Rfam family: Bacterial small subunit ribosomal RNA
Source: RNAcentral
AUUGAACGCUGGCGGCGGGCCUAACACAUGCAAGUCGAACGGAGCGGCGGACGGGUGAGGAAGGCCUAGGAAUCUGCCUGGGAGUGGGGGCUACCAUCCGGAGACGGGCGAUAAUACCGCAUACUAUCAGAUGAGCCUAGGUCGGAUUAGCUAGUUGGUGGGGUACAGGCCUACCAAGGCGACGAGCCGUAACGGGCCUGAGAGGAUGAUCGGGCAAACUGGAACUGAGACACGGCCCAGAAUCCUACGGGAGGCAGCAGUGGGGAAUGUUGGACAAUGGCAGAAAGCCGGAUCGAGCCACGCCGCGUGAGUGAAGAAGGUUUUCGGAUCGUAAAGCUCUUUAAGUUGGGAGGCGGUACCUAAAGAAUAAGCACCGGCUAACUACGUGCCAGCAGCCGCGGUAAUAC